This 257-nucleotide unclassified non-coding RNA is filed under the name Xylaria multiplex. Its description in RNAcentral is "partial internal transcribed spacer region". The stretch from base 1 to 46 matches the Rfam family "Eukaryotic small subunit ribosomal RNA", at positions 1786 to 1831 of the family's 1831-position model. Lineage: Eukaryota; Fungi; Ascomycota; Sordariomycetes; Xylariales; Xylariaceae. The record is from RNAcentral.
AAGUCGUAACAAGGUCUCCGUUGGUGAACCAGCGGAGGGAUCAUUAAAGAGUUUUGAUAACUCCUAAAACCCAUGUGAACUUACCUUCUGUUGCCUCGGCAGGUCGUGUCUACCCUGUGGUCUCCUACCCUGUAGGAGACUACCUGGUGGUCACGGGUCUACCUGUCAGUGGCCCGUUAAACUCUGUUUAUUAUAUGCCAUUCUGAAUUAUCAACUAAAUAAGUUUAAAACUUUCAACAACGGAUCUCUUGGUUCUG